Oncorhynchus keta (chum salmon) is the source of this 1794-nucleotide long non-coding RNA. RefSeq lists it as uncharacterized. The transcript is spliced from 5 exons. The record is from RefSeq and is a predicted model, not a curated record. Lineage: Eukaryota; Metazoa; Chordata; Actinopteri; Salmoniformes; Salmonidae.
GUUGAGGGGUAGGGUGGGUGUUGCGCUGCGUUCGUUAGUUAAAGAGGGGAUGGCGUAUAGUGUAUUGGAGAUACAGAACUUGGAAUGUGUGGGGUAUAAAUUAUGUAGGAAUAGAGGUUACAUUGUUUAGGUCAUUUAUACAACCCCUGAAAACCUCUCGUGUUACCACAGUUUGAAGGGAUGUAUAGGGAGGGGUGGGAAGGUCAUAUGGUGUGGGGAUAUUAAUGCUCAUAAUGAAAUAUGGGAAAGUCAGCAUGAAGAUAAUCAUGGGAACAUAGUUGAGGAAUGUAUGGAUUACAGGGGAUUAGUAUGUGUUAAUGAUGAGAGGGGGAGGAGAAUCAAUGUACAGAGACAUACUUGGGUUUGACAUUGGUAUCUGUGGCGGUGACUGGGAGGUGUGAAUGGGAAGUGAUGAUAGAAUCCACGAUAGGGAGUGAUCAUUUUCCGGUUCGAUGUAAAGUCAAUAUGGGUGUGUGUAUGCAGAUUAACAUGAGGUGGUGCUUUGAGUAAGCUGACUGGAAGGCAGAGUGUGAUGAGGAGAGUGGGUCGAUAUUCAGGUCCUGUUGGGCCGUAGGUAGCUAGUUUCCUUAUUUUUUAAAGCUACGAAUGGCAAAUUUAACGUGGUUCAUCAUGGAUUUGACAAACCUAAAAAGGUUUCAAUUUGAUAGGCCAUUGUGGAGGGGAUUUGCAAAGGAUUUAAAUGGACACCAAAAAUCAGAUUUCCUGAUUUAUCAAUAACUCGGCCAUCUCAAACUAAGUCAAGACAUGGGUCUAUACUCCUUAUGUGGUGUUAUUUGGAUGAUGGGUUAUGUCUAUAUGUCUUUCAAAGGUUUUCCAAAAUGUUCAAGAUGGAGGAAAAUCUUUCCUGACAGACCUUAUGGGUCCUUGAGGCAAAUGUGUUCAGUGUGAGGAAAGAUUCUACAUCAAAGUUUUACAACACCACCUAUAGGCCAAUCAGUGCCAAUCUUUUUGACCAAGUUACUCAUGGCCUCUAGUCCUUUAAUUCACUGUACACUACCUACCUCUUUAACGAACAUGUAAAUACACAAUUUUUAUGACGGUGAUCGAACGUCGUUCCGGUUGAACGACUCCUUCACCAAGUACAAGAAGGAGAAGGCGGAAAACGACAAAAUGCUGAACGAGCAGAACGUCAAGCUCCAAGAGCAUCUGUCUGAGGUCCCCUUCCAGAAGGCAAAGUUCUCCACACAGCUGGGGUUCGCCUCCAAGAGGUAUAAGAUGCUGCAGGAGAACCUGAAAGGCUACAGGCGGGAGAUUGCCGAGCUGCACGAGAAGAGCCAGAAGAUGGCCGCCACGGCUCAGAAACACGAGCAGAACAUCCACACCAUGACCCAGGACCUCUGGGCUGCCUAUGAGAAACUGACCGUGUCAGUUAGGAGUUAGGAGGUCAAGGUUGGGCCAGCAGUCCAGACUGAACCAGGAGAAGGGGGCCAUGAUGGCUGAGCAGUGCAACCAAAACCUACUGCUGACCAACCUCAAAUCUAUCCAGCUGACGUUGGAGUGUACAGAGACAGAGACCAGGCAGUGUCUGAACAGCCAGAUAGAGAGACUGGAGAGAGAGCUCCCCCAGUUUAAGAAGAAACCGGCUGAGGAGGUAGAGCAGAGGCACGUGCUGGGCCGCAACCAAGAAGUACAGAUACACUCAAGCUCAACUGCUGGAGGCCAAGAAGCAGCUGGAGGCCCAGUGGUCUCUGUACCAGAAGACCAAGGAGCUGUUGAAGAACGCUGAGCUGCAAGCGAACCUACUGAGGCAGCAGCUCAGCCACACUGAGAAGC